GUGCUUGCUUCAGCAGCAUAUAUACUAAAAUUGGAACUAUACAGAGAAGAUUAGCAUGGCACAUGCGCAAGGAUGACACGCAAAUUCGUGAAGCAUUCCAUAUUUUU
This 107-nucleotide small nuclear RNA is filed under the name Vombatus ursinus (common wombat). Lineage: Eukaryota; Metazoa; Chordata; Mammalia; Diprotodontia; Vombatidae. The record is from RNAcentral.